This 1547-nucleotide long non-coding RNA is filed under the name Rattus norvegicus (Norway rat). RNAcentral describes it as "long non-coding RNA NONRATT000110". The record is from RNAcentral. Lineage: Eukaryota; Metazoa; Chordata; Mammalia; Rodentia; Muridae.
GGCCACCGCAGCUGCACACAGCUUCCCUCUGUCCUUCGCAGGGGCCUUUCCCAUGCUCCCAUCCAAUGCAGCAGCAGCCGCCGCGGUUGCCGCUGCAACAGCAAUCAGCCCACCGUUAUCAGUGUCUGCAGCCUCCAGUCCUCAGCAGACAAGCAGUGGAACAAACAGUAAACCUUACCGACCCUGGGGGACAGAAGUUGGAGCCUUUUAAGUUAUUCUUGAAUCUCUUUGCAAUAGUAACUGGUGUCCUCCGUUUCGGAAUCAGCUUCAAACCUCUGCACCCGGACGGUAGUCAUACAGAUACGUCCAGAUCUCCACAGCAGCAAUAAAGCGAUUUGAGAAGAAACUUCCCACAAAUGGAAAUGUAGUAUUAUUUUUUCCUUUGUUUAAGGCAGCUUGGCAACUGACAUCAACAACUUGAAAGCCGCACACCGGUUUCCAUUUAAACUUUCUUGGAAAAUACACCGAUGUUACCAUCCAGUAGUGCAUUUAUACUCCUGAUUUGGAAAAGAAAAAACCCCAUAACUGAGUUCUCCUGAUGCAGGAAGGGAGAAGAAAAAAAAAAUACCAUGUUUCCUAAGUGCCUGAACUAAGAAACAUAAUGUAGCACAAGGUCAGAAGGGUAUAACCGUUAAGGUGAGAAAGGGAGAGUGCAGACAAGGUGUCGGGCUGCAGAUACAGUGUUCUUUGGGAACCAGAAAGAUGAAUGAAAGUUAAGUUGAAAGACCUAGUUUUGUCUUUGUUUUCUUUAUACAGACUUGCCAGGCAGUGACAUUUAGCAGUGCACUGAAAUAAAAAUUCCCCCAGAGCCCCCAUUAACAAGCAUUUCUGGUCUGCCUUCAAGCUUCCGUACCUCUGGUGAGCCCUAGCUUAAAACGCUAUGCUUCUUUAUGUAAACUUACAGGUAUACAUGCACUAGAAGCAGUUACCUACUGUGUGCCCACCAGAGGUUCACUCACACGAACGGGAAAACUUCAGUUUGCCAGACUUUGGAUUAAUUUAUUGUUUCACUUGGACUAUGUUUAUAUAUUUAACUUCUUCAGUUUUCUCCUGACAACAUGUAAUGUCUGUUCUUGUCUGUUUGGGGGUGGGGGGGGUGUUGCAUUUUUGGAAGUAACGAGAGAAGGAGAGAUGAUAUGGAAGGGAAAAGCUACAUGAUGUAAAUGUCUUGGUCAAAUCACAACGAAUGUAUGGAAUGAGUUGUAUAUAAAUUAUUUUUGUCCAUGCAUAGACUAGUGCUACAUAAUGGUGUUUUGGUUUUGAUUUUUUUUUAUCUUAACAAUGAAAUAAUCUCUUAAGACAUUGAAAUUGAGCACAUGAGAUUUUAUAUUUGAAAGAAUAAGGCACAGCAUGUAUUCUUAUGCACUUCGUUUCUCUGCUGUGUGGAGAAAGCAGUAAACAAGAGAAUAUUAAACAUUAUGCAAAGUUAUACUCAUAAAUAUGUUUUUAAAAUUACUGUACCUAGUCUCUUCUGUAUUACUUUGUAACUUUUUUCUAUGCAAAAGUCUACGUGUCACUAAUUAAAUGACGUCCUUUUUGACUAUUUC